UAGUCUAUGCCGUAAACGAUGAUUACUUGAUGCUGGCGAUAUACUGUCAGUGUCUAAGCGAAAGUGUUAAGUAAUCCACUUGGGGAGUACGAUCGCAAGGUUGAAACUCAAAGGAAUUGACGGGGGCCCGCACAAGCGGUGGAGCAUGUGGUUUAAUUCGAUGAUACGCGAGAAACCUUACCAGGGCUUAAAUGUAGAACGACAUUCUGGGAAACCAGAACUUCUUCGGACGGACUACAAGGUGCUGCAUGGUUGUCGUCAGCUCGUGCCGUGAGGUGCCGGGUUAAGUCCCAUAACGAGCGCAACCCCUAUUCUUAGUUGCCAACAGAUAAUGCUGGGGACUCUAAGAAACUGCCCGUGCAAACGGAGAGGAAGGUGGGGAUGACGUCAAAUCAUCACGGCCCUUACGUCCUGGGCUACACACGUGCUACAAUGGUCGGUACAAAGGGCAGCUACUUGGACAACAAGAUGCUAAUCUACUAAACGCCGGCCUCAGUUCGGAUUGAGUCU
This 510-nucleotide ribosomal RNA is filed under the name uncultured bacterium. RNAcentral's name for it is "bacterial SSU rRNA". It matches the Rfam family "Bacterial small subunit ribosomal RNA", at positions 791 to 1305 of the family's 1533-position model. The record is from RNAcentral.